Long non-coding RNA from Ricinus communis (castor bean), 237 nucleotides. RefSeq lists it as uncharacterized. NCBI's taxonomy places the organism in Eukaryota, Viridiplantae, Streptophyta, Magnoliopsida, Malpighiales, Euphorbiaceae. The transcript has 3 exons. The record is from RefSeq and is a predicted model, not a curated record.
UCAAAUUGUUCUUUUAAGCUUGAAAGAUUUGGGCUUUCUUAAUUAAGGAAAACAAAGAUUGUUGAGUGAGUAGGAACUUAUGAGGUUCGAUUUUGCUGCUGCUCUGUUUUUAGUUCAGCAGGUAACCUGGUUUUUGUGCUGACAUUUUGAGGCAUUUAGAGGCUGAACCAAGCAGAGAGUUAAACAUGAAAGGUUCAUCCAAAGGCAAGGAAGUGGUAAGAGAAAAAGAAUAGGAUU